GACGAACGCUGGCGGCGUGCUUAACACAUGCAAGUCGAACGGAAAGGCCCUGCUUUUGUGGGGUGCUCGAGUGGCGAACGGGUGAGUAACACGUGAGUAACCUGCCCUUGACUUUGGGAUAACUUCAGGAAACUGGGGCUAAUACCGGAUAGGAGCUCCUGCUGCAUGGUGGGGGUUGGAAAGUUUCGGCGGUUGGGGAUGGACUCGCGGCUUAUCAGCUUGUUGGUGGGGUAGUGGCUUACCAAGGCUUUGACGGGUAGCCGGCCUGAGAGGGUGACCGGCCAAAUUGGGACUGGGGAAGGGCCCAGACUCCUAGGGGAGGGAGGAGGGGGGAAUAUUGCACAAGGGGGGGAGGCCGGGUGCAGCAACGCCGCGUGGGGGAUGGCGGCCUUGGGGUUGUAAACCGCUUUCGCCUGGGACGAAGCGUGGGUGAGGGUAAUGGGUAAAGAAGCACCGGCUAACUACGU
This 467-nucleotide ribosomal RNA is filed under the name uncultured bacterium. RNAcentral's name for it is "partial 16S ribosomal RNA". It matches the Rfam family "Bacterial small subunit ribosomal RNA", at positions 28 to 506 of the family's 1533-position model. The record is from RNAcentral.